GCGCUCAUGCAUGGAGCUACGUUUCCCGGUGAUUGGCCCCGCAUUCGGAGGGCCCGUGCGAGGCUCAGGAGCGCCAUUGCGGGCGACCGGGACGCGGGACACCGUCGGCGCGCUCCUCGCGGUUCUCGCCCUCGGGCUCGCCCUCCGACUCAUCAUCGCAUACCUGCUCCCGGGGUCUGGCUUCAGGACCGACCUCGAAUCGUUCGACUUCUGGGCACGGAACCUGGCGGCUCAAGGCCCGUUCGGUUUCUACGAGCGGCCAUUCUUCCACGACUACACGC
Molecule: unclassified non-coding RNA, 281 nt
Filed under: uncultured bacterium
Lineage: Bacteria
Description: contains 16S-23S intergenic spacer region
Source: RNAcentral